UCAAAAUAAAAUCGUGUGUAUUUACAAAAAGUUGUCGUAGAUAACGAUUUAUUUCCUUCUCGUUUUCAUUAUAUCAUUUUAAUGAUUUUUUUAUUCGUUACCUCGCUUUUUUGGAGAGGCGUUAAUCUGCAACAUACGACUGACUCACAUGACAUUGCAAUCUUUUUAAACAACUGUGGAUACGUUUGUAUAACCAAACUUAAACAACUUCCAUUGAUUAUAAAUCCAUACUGUUUAUGAGGUUCCAAUUUCAUUUGACGCCUGUAAAAAACGUAUUUGCAAAAAUUAUAUUGAUAUACGGAUAAGAGAAAAGAAAUUUGCCCAAUAUAUGCUAAUGGUAUUAUAUUUACUCGAAAUUGGUAAGAGUAACGAAGCAAGUUUGCUUCGUUGUUUGUGUCAUUAAACGUAGUAUCUCAGUACCCUUUUUAAAAUGACCACACAAGAAAGCUAUAUUUUCUGCUGUUUCUGCUUUGUCACCGCUACUUUUAGACACUCGAGCGUUUCUUCAACGCCUUCUUGAAGACGAUCUUCGACCGCCGUUACUCCAAGUAAAGUUAGACCACUUUCCAUUUCUUCGUAGGCACAUUGUAUGCAUAUUUCUCGAUCUUGUCCGAUGACUUGUCUUGCAACUUCGAUAUUACGUGUUAACCGUGUAUAAUCUCUUUGGGUUAAUUUUUUAUAAGCCACUACCAAGGUACGCAAUCCUCUCUAAUGCAAAACACAUAACGUUUUAGUCAAUAAACGUAAAUACAUAAGUAUCAUUUUGUGGAACAUUGAUGUACCAUAGAGAAAUCUUCUACAUGAGCAGCUGCUGUUUCGACGUCUCCUUCUAUAAUUAAAGGAACAUUUGAAUAUCAUCAUCCUUACUUGAUAUUCUGGAAGAUCUGGAUGCAUAAGCAACGAACUAUUAACUUUGGUAAUCGUCUUUAAUCUGAAACUCUUACGAUACUCUAAGCGUUGCGUACUAAUCGUUGACUUCCGACUUGGUGGUGCAAUUUGAACAACGUGGCAAAGAGAAAUACUCAUCAUGAAGUGCCAAAUUUCAGACUGCAAUAUUAAUACAUUCUCUUAUUUAUUAUAGACUUCCUCUAAAUAUGUAUAUGUAAUCAUUGUGAUAUUUGCCUGCCACGAUUGUAAUUUUACAGCCUCCCUUUCGUCUCCGUUAGGUGGUAAUAAAUAAAGAUUUCCAUCACAGUCUUUUUCUAUAUAUACUUGUCCGUUGAUGGAACAUCGCCUGAAUACCAUCAGAUUUUCAGUUAGCGUACCAGUUUUAUCAGUGAAUAAAUACUCGACCUGACCAAGUUCCUCGUUUAAAUCCGACGUGUUGCUCAAUGCUGGUUGAUCGGAUGCUUCGUCGUAUAGAUCGAUGUCCCAUUUGAAAUAAACAGAUCCUAGAAAUUUUUGUAUUUCUGAAAAGCACAUAGAUCGCAAUGUAAAAGAAAAUAUACAUAACACGUUGAAAUAUUGUGGAUAAUGUCUUACCGAUCGUAACGUAUAACGAUAUAGGAACGAUGUAAUUAUAUAAAAUAGUAAAACUGAGUAAAUCUAUAAAAAGAGACAACGGGGUUGUGGAACUUUUCUCCCCCAAAUAGACGUCCCACGUUGAAUUUGAUUCUAUUAUGAAUUUAAAAAUCGUUGAAAUAAUUAUUUCAAACAGCAGAAGUAUGAUAAAAGCAGUAAGGUACCUUUCUACCGUUGAAAAUUUAUUCGGUACUGUUUUCGAAUUUAACGAUAAUUUUGUAUCUUUACCGGUGUAAAUGACACAACCAAUCACGCUAUCGAUGUCUUUUAAUAUUGCUCCACGAAGCAACAUAUUAUCUAUCGUUAAAAAUCCACUCGUCGUCACUUCGUUCGAAUUAUUUUUUAUUUCCAUUUUUCCAUUAAAACUAUAAAGAUCUGGCAUUGGAGCCUGACACGUUAUAGUCGCUUGCAUCGAUACGAUCUCUUGUAGGGGCAUCUUGGAUAUGAUUUUCGGUUUGACGUUGUAACAAAACAAUAACCAGAACUUUCGUCGCUGUGUAAAAGAAGAAGAUCACAGGGAACAUCCUCGUCUCGUCUUACCUUUACUAUAUCUCCUACGACUAUUUGUUCACAAUGAAUUUCCUAUGAUGUUUAACGAUAUUUGUUAUAAAAUUAUUAUGGCAAUUAUACUUCACUACGAUAUUAUACCGACCUGUGCACAUUUGUUGCGAAUAACUGUU
Vespa velutina is the source of this 2201-nucleotide long non-coding RNA. RefSeq lists it as uncharacterized. The transcript has 5 exons. Lineage: Eukaryota; Metazoa; Arthropoda; Insecta; Hymenoptera; Vespidae. The record is from RefSeq and is a predicted model, not a curated record.